AUUUGAGGUAAGAUUGGGUGAGGACACACAGACAAACUAUAACAGGCUUCCAUAACAAAUAAUCAUAAACUUGAUGGCAUAAAACAACAGAAAUCUAUUCUCUCACAGUUCCAGAGGCCAGAAGUCUGAAUUUAAGGUGUUGACUAUUGAUUACUUGUGGAGGAUAUGAGGGGGAAGCCAUUCUAUGCCUCUCUCCUAGCUUCUGGUGGCUGCCAGCAUUCCUCAGUUUUCAUUGGCUUGUUGACACAUCACUCCAUUUCCUGUAUCCAUCUUUAUAAGGUCUUUAUGAUGUUCUCUUUGUUUCAAUUAUCUGCCUAUCUCUUAUAGUAAUACCCAUCAUUAGAUUUAGGGUCCACCUUAAAUCUGGGGUAAUCUCAUCUCAAAAUACAUUUGCAAAUAGCAUUUUUCCAAAUAAAUCACAUUUACAGGUUGUGGGGGUUGGAAUUUGGACAUGAAUUUGAGGGACCACUAUUCAAUCUACUAUAGUAUCAAAGGGUUUUACUGGGAGCUGAUCACAAAGGCACCCUCUGCCUUAGAAUGUACUAAAAUUCCAAACUCUGAGAGAAAAAGCGUGGGUGUUCAGUAUAAAUUAUGCUGUUUAUAUAAAUAGUCUAGGCACAGGGAGCCUCCCUUAUUAGUCAGGGAAUUGUUUGAGUGUCAAGUCACAGAUGCCAGCUAACGACCAAUCUUGCCAGUAGGCCUUUCUAAAAAUAGAAGCCUCAGGCCUGUCAUAUUAGCUUGUUUCUCUUUACCCUUACCCAGGGCAUUUCUACAGCAAAAUUAUUAUAAGGACUCCACAGUGCAGUGACCGACCUGCAGUAUUAGCUUCAGUCAUGUCCUCCAGGGGUUCUCAAUUCACUAGUUAACCAUAAUCCUGUUAAAUAUAAACAUCUGUAUUAGAAAGCCUAGUGGCUUCCACAAGAGAUGUGUCCUCCCUCAACUUUCAGCUUUUGGCAGGAACCACAAGUUAUGAGUGCAAUUAGUGCCAGUAUUAUAGAGCCAGCUAGCAGCUCAGUUUAAGCUAUUUUCAUUAGAGAAUAAACCGUUUUCCAUGGCCAUCUGUAUGUAACCCCUGUAGGCCAUCCAGCAUACAUGAUGUUUUUACAGUUUUUUGCCCCACUGAAGGGUGCUCUAAAUCUUCAACCAUCCCAGAAUUUAAGUCCUGCUCAUUGAGCAGAGAGAUGUCAUCUGAGUUCAGUUUGACACAGUGAGUGCUAAAGUUGAAACAGCCCAGACACAGCAUAUAGUAUCAGGUUUCACUUUAGAGUUGGAACCAGACAAGUAGAAUCUUGAAUUCAUGAUUCCCCAAAUGUCAGUAACUUUUCUUCUAUAGUAGGAAGACCCUGCAGGGUCAUAAAUCUGCAUACAAAGUCCUAAGAUCCUUUUUUAAAAACUGAUUUGAGUCCAAAUUGACCCACUCUAUGCAUAUUAGGCUGGAAAAUCAUCAGCCAUUUCAUUUCAACAACAGCUCAUUAGCAAACUAAAACAGCUUUCAAAACUACAAAAGUAUAUUUCCAUCUGGAGAUUGCCUUUGUUUUCAUUUUUUCUUGCUUUUUUCAGAGGCUCCAAUGGGCAAAACCAUAGCAAAAAUCAUCAGUUAUGGAGAUUUGUUCUGUUUCUGAUACUCAAAGUAUUUAAAUUUCAAUUUACCUACCCGUGCAUGGCAAAAAGCUAGGGAUCUGUGCACCAUGAAUAUUUUUUCUUUGCAGCUUUCCCUGAUCAGAAUAAUCACCCUAUAACUUUUAUGAAAUUAUGGGCAGAAGAUAUUUUUUAAACCAAUUGUAUAUAGAUGAAAUAGCCACAAAAUACAAGGCCAUUAAAAAAAAUCUUUUUUUUUUAAAUGGCAAAGUUUACUCCCAGCCCUUUCAGUGAAUUCAGCAUUUAUAGAGGAAAAAUCAGUGACUAGGAGAUUCCAGCUGAAACACAAGAUGUUGGGGUACUGCAGUUUCGGCUUGAGAAAGGGCUUCAGUGUUUCUCUCUCUCUUUUUUUUUUUUUGAGGAGAGAGCAACUAAGUUAAUUUUUAUUGUUGUUGACCCAUUCAGAGCUCAUCUGAGGGACUACUUGGGCCUUUUUAACUUUCCCUUGUAAGAGAGCACAAAAAAAGUCACAGUGGGGACUUCUCUAUUUUCUUCCUUUUAGUUAGCAUGGACAAAAGAAGCCAGUGGAUCCAAUGAGCCAACUCUCCUGGGCUUGAAUCUAUCAUUUUCAAAUCCAUAGGUAACUUUUAGCUCUCACAAAAGAUAGCAUCUCAGCUGCUCUUUUGUCCCGUGGGCAAUGACAUAAUCACCUAAGUACCAAGACUCCUUCAUUUUCUGCCCUUUUCUCCAAAACCACACUGUAGCCAUAUUCCAGUUGGAGUUGUUCUGAUAAAUCCCAUAGCCACUACAGUUUUAAUGACCCUCAAGGUCACACACAUUCGGAGGUUCUUUAGUGGCACUUAUGCAACUCAGCAUGUAGUUGGGACUCAUGGCUCAGGUUUGUUAUAGUGAAAAUAUGACAGGAUCAUCAUGGGAAAAAGACACAAGUGGAUUCUGGAGAAAUGCAUGCACAGACUUCCUCAUACUCUUUUCCUCCAAUAAGGAAACACACCAAAUGAGUGGGUGUUCAUUUUUUUUCCAGCAGCAAAAACUACAAAUAUGCAUAUAAUAUUUCUGUCCAGGGGAGCCUAGAGGAUCAGAGUUCAAAACUUUUUUAGAAGGUGGAUGAUAAGAAACUUCUGGGAGUUGAAGGAACUUGUUCUAACCCAAUGCAAAGAAACUAAGAACUUUGAAAAAGGGUUUGAUGAAAUGCUAACAAGAAUAGAUAACAUAGAGAGGAAUAUAAGUGAAUUAACGGAGUUGAAAAAUACAACAUGAGAACUUCGUGAAGUAUACACAAGUUUUAACAGCCGAAUUGAUCAAGCAGAAGAAAGGAUAUCAGAGGUUGAAGACCAACUUAAUGAAAUAAAACAAGAAGAUAAGAAUAGAGUAAAAAGGAUAAAAAGGAAUGAGCAAAGUCUCCAAGAAAUAUGGGACUAUGUGAAAAGACCUAAUCUACGUUUGAUAGGUGUACGUGAAUGCGACGAAGAGAAUGAAUCCAAGCUGGAAAAUACUCUUCAGGAUAUUAUCCAGGAAAACUUUCCCAACCUAGCAAGGAAGGACAAUAUUCCACUCCAGGUAAUACAGAGAACACCACAAAGAUAUUCCUCAAGAAGAGCAACCCCAAGGCACAUAAUCGUUAGAUUCACCAGGGUUGAAAUGAAAGAGAAAAUACUAAGGGCAGCCAGAGAGAAAGGUCAGGUUACCCACAAAGGGAAGCCUAUCAGACUCACAGCAGAUCUCUCAGCAGAAACCCUACAAGCCAGAAGAGAGUGGGGGCCAAUAUUCAACAUCCUUAAAGAAAAGAACUUUCAAGCCAGAAUUUCACAUCCAGCCAAACUAAGCUUUACAGUCGAAGGAAAAAUAAAAUCUUUUGUGAAUAAGCAGGUACUCAGAGAUUUCAUUACCACCAGGCCUGCUUUACAAGAGCUUCUGAAAGAAGCAUUACACAUAGACAGGAACAACCAGUAUUAGCCUUUCUAAAAAUAUACCAAAAAGUAAAGAGUAUCAACAUAAUGAAAAAUUUAUAUCAACUCAUGUGCAAAAUAGCCAGCUAACAUCAAAUGGUAAUAAUCUUAAAUUUAAAUUGACUAAAUCCCCCAGUCAAAAGAUUCAGCCAAAACCCAUCGGUAUGCUGCAUCCAGACCCAUCUUACAUCCAAGGAUACAUGAAGAGUCAAAACAAAGGGAUGGAGAAAGGUUUGUCAACCAAAUGGAGAACAAAAAUAAGUAAAUAAAAAGUAGAGGUUGCAAUUCUCAUCUCUGAUGGAAUGGAUUUUAAAGCAACAAAGAUCAAAAGAGGACAUAAUGGUAAAAGGAUCCAUGCAACAAGAAGAGCUGAUGAUCCUGGAUGUGUAGGCACCCAAUAUAGGAUACAUAAGACUUGUAAAGAGACUUGGACUCCCACAUAGUAAUAGUGGGAGAUUUCAACAUCAAUAUUAGAUAGAUCAAUGAGACAGAAAAUUAACAAGGAUAUCCUGGACUUGAACUCAGAUCCGGAACAAGUAAACUUAAUAAACAUUUAUAGAACUCUCCACUUUAAACACACAAGAUGUGCACUCUUAUCAGUACCACAUCACACCUACUCACAGGUUAAGACGAAAUAUUGGUUGGCCAUUAUUAAGCACAAUUGGUGGUAUAAGGGAGGUUUUCAAUACCCACUUUUAGACUGCAUUCUAGCCUGGGCAAUUAAGCAACACUCCUGUUCUCUCUCCCUCCUCCUCUUCCUCUUUUUUCCUCCUCUUCUUCAUUCCUUUUUCUUUCUUUCGUUCUCUCUUAAAAAAAAAAAACUUUUUUAGGAGGGCUGAUCCUGAAGGCACCUUCUGCUUAUCACAUACCCAAAUUCCAGACUCCCAGAAGGAAACAGACAUUAACCAGAAAUCACACUGUUUGGACAAACAGCCCAGGUGUGGGUAGCUGCCCUUAUUGUUAGGACAUGACCUGAGUCCCAGAGCUAGCAUCCCAGAUGCCAGCCAAGGGCCAAACUUGCAAGUAGGCCCUUCUAAGUCGGCAGCCUCAAAUCUGCUAUGUUAACUCUUCUUCACACAAUUGCUAAGCCAGGAAGUGGAUUGGCCCAGAUCAUACCUAGGAGGUUGUAUUUGCCUCAUCUUGCCUUAUCCUUCUUGGUUAUGAAACUGGGUUAUAGAACAUAGCCCAACUCAGCACAGUAUGGCUUUUUAAAGCCUCUUGUCAUUGCAACGGAGUCCUACCAUAGCUGUUCAUUUCAUGAGAGACCAGCUCAGGUCCCUUGUGGAGGAUGAAGGAGUGGGGGUUUUCUUUGAACUCCUGUCUGCCUCUGAGAGACAGCAGACCCUGAGCCCAGAUGAUCCGUAGUUUCAGCCCCACUUACUACUUGUGUUCUAGUUUAUUUUCUCCUCAACAAAGAUAUGACUAUGUAAUGUAUUUUCAAUUUUCUUUUUAAAAAUGUUAUUUAUCAUUGCUAUUUGUUUGGAACAACGUAUGGUGGGGAAAGGAGGCUUAGACUGCAAACUUAUAAUGCCAUCUUAGUCAGAAGGGGCUCUUUCACUUUUUUACACAUCACUGCAACUUUUUCCAGGAUCCAGGGCUGAGCCGGUGGGGCUUGUCUGGCCUGGAGGAUAACUUUAGUGAUACGGUGCUUUAUUCAACAUUGCUUUUCAGCUGUGUUUCUGUCCUAUUGUCCUUGUGUCUCUUGACUCUCUUCCUUUAGGACUAAUUAUGGCUCAUGUGACUCAUUAGUGGGCCUGCCUUGCACUGUUGUUUCUGAGGGGGAACCUCGGCUUAGGUGCUCAAGCCAAGAUUCCUCUACUACUCAAGGAUUUUGGUUGAAACAUAUGACACAGAAUGAAACAACAAAAUCAGAGUUUGGGCAGCCUACCAUUUUCCAAAAGCCUACCUAUUCACUGUGGGGAAAGGCAAGUAGCUAACCUAUAAGGCAACUCCUAUAUCCCAUGACCUAUGCAUUAUAUUUCUUUAAUGAAAGAAUUUUUACUUUUUACCAUUUCGACAGACUACAUUGCUUCAUAUUAUUGUUACGAAUCCAUGUUUCUCAUUUUUGUUUUUGUUUUCAUUUUUGGUUAAGAAAGGCUGCAAAGCAAGGUGUAUGGGAGCAGCUUGUGUUUAAACUCCAAUUCAAGUUCGGGGUGAAAAUUAUUUCCUGUGUGUAUAUCUUCAGAAACAUGCUUCAGUCUGACAAGAUGAUUUUGAACUUUGGUUCUGGCAUCUUUGUGUCAUCUGAAAUUCUGCCAGGUUUGCCAGUCUUAGGUGUCAAAUUGAUUUGAAAUUGCUAGCAUAUGUAAAUAACACAACUAAAUCCAUGCGAUUUGCCUCAAAUAUUUUCUUUAAAAUAUAGAAAUAUCAUUGGUGAUCCUUGGUCUUAUAUUCUGUUUAAAACGUAUCUUAAAAGUUUGAAAUCUUAAAAAGAAGUGGUUCCUGCCACUUCUUUGUGUUUUAACCAUAGCUCCAUUCACUUUCAGGGCAUGAGCACACCUCUGACUUUUUAGAUGCACAAACAUUAUAAUAUUCAAAAUUAUGAAUAUGUAUUUUUCAAUAGUACUAAUCCAUGAAAAAUGGGAUUAUAAUAUGCUGUUUAUUUAAUCCUCCAAAAGUGAGUAAAAUUUGUCUAGUCCAGACUUUUGCUGGGAGUUGGCUGUAAGAAUUAGGUUUACUAAAAACACAAGGUGGUAAUAGAAAUUACCCUCUUAAGCUAAAAUAGACAAAUGGCAUCUAAUUAAACUAAAGAUCUUCUGCACAGCGAAAGAAAAUAUCAUCAGAGUGAACAGGCAACCUAUAGAAUGAGAGAAAAUUUUUGCACUCUACCCAUCUGACAAAGGUCUAAUAUACAGAAUCUAUAAGGAAUGUAAACAAAUUUACAAGAAAAAAACAACCCCGGCCUCCCUCCCUCCUGGCCUUCCCUUCCCCCACUUCGCAGACCUCUCUUCCCACAGUGCCUCCCUCCUUCUCCUCUCCACCCCCUCCGGGCUCCCGCUCUCCCUGAAGGCUACGACUGUGAGUGGAGCCACUGGCCCCACCGGGAUCCCCGCGCCUUCUGCCGCCGUGUCCACGUCCUCCUGGUGCCCCUGCCCGGUGCCGCGAGCCUACUCCGGGCUUGGCCUGACUCCGCACGGUGCAGCGCAGGCCGCGGGACAAGCCCGACUUAAAUCUUUGCAAUGGCUGACGAAGCUUAUCCUUGUCCCUGUGACAUUGGCCACAGACUUGAGUAUGGAGGGAUGGGCCAUGAAGUUCAAGUCGAGCACAUCAAGGCAUAUGUCACCAAAUCCCCUGUUGAUGGAGGCAAAGCUGUUAUUGUCAUUCAAGAUAUAUUUGGCUGGCAGUCGCCUAAUAUCAGAUAUAUGGCUGACAUGAUCUCAGGAAAUGGUUACACAACCAUUGUUCCAGACUUCUUUGUAGGGCAAGAGCCUUGGGACCCCUCUGAUGACUGGUCCAUCUUCCCUGAGUGGCUGAAAAUGAGAAAUGCCUGGAAGAUCAUUAGAGAAAUCGAUGCUGUUUUGAAGUAUCUGAAACAAUGUCAUGCCCAGAAAAUUGGCGUGUGGGUUCUGCUGGGGUGGAACUGCUGUCCAUCACUUGAUGAUGAAAUACUCAGAAUUCAGGACAGGGUUUCUGUCUACGGCAUCCUCAAGGAUUCUGAAGACAUUUACAAUUUAAAGAACACCACCUUGUUCAUUUUUGCUGAAAAUGAUGCUGUGAUUCCACUCAAGAACGUAUCAUUGCUGACCCAGAAGCUGAAAGAACACUGCAAAGUUGAAUAUCAAAUUAAGACAUUUUCUGGGCAGACUCACGGGUUCGUGCAUCGGAAGAGAGAAGACUGUUCACCUGCAGACAUGCCCUACAUUGACGAGGCCAGAAGGAAUUUAAUCGAGUGGCCGAACAAGUACAUGUAGCAAGAAUCGAGGGCAAGCACUCCCAGAAGAGCUUUCAUCCCAAACUUUGCUUGGAAAUACUUAGAUCAAUCGAUUUAAUUUUCAUCUUUAUAAAAUAAAUGUAGGAAUCCUAAAAUUCAUUAUGUCAUUUGAAACACAAGUUCAUUAGGAAAUAAUGCAUGAAAUAAUUUAAUUUUUAACAUGUACAUCAAAUCAAAAUUUAAAACCAAGGUCUGGCUGGGCGCGGUGGCUCAUGCCUGUAAUCCCAACACUUUGGGAGGCCAAAGCAGGUGGAUUACCUGAGGUUAGGAGUUUGAUACCAGCCUGGCUAACAUACUGAGACUCCCUCAUCUCUACAAAAAAAAAAAAAUGCCAAAAUUAGCCUGGUGUGGUGGUGCACUCCUGUAGUCCCAGCUACUUGGGAGGCUGAGGCACAAGAAUCAAUAGAACACAGGAGGUAGAGACUGCAGUGAGCUGAGAUUGUGCCGCCACCGCACUCCAGCCUGGGCGACAGAGUGACCCUGUCUCAAAAGUAAAUGAAUAAAUAAAAAUGAAAAAUAAAAACCAGGACAGUUACCUGGAGAAUUUGAAUGAUAAAGUAAUACCAUAAUUAUUAGUUAAAACCUACAGGUUGGGUGUGGUGGCUCACGCCUGUAAUCCUAGCAGUUUGGGAGGCUGAGGCGGGUGGAUCACUUGAGGUCAGGAGUUUGAGACCAGCCUGGCCAACAUGGUGAAACCCUGUCUCUACUAAAAGUACAAAAGUUAGCCAAGUGUGGUGGUGUGCACCUGUGGUCCUGACUACUCAGGAGGCUGAGGCAGGGGAAUCACUCAAACCUGGGAGGAGGAGGUUGCAGUGGGUGGAGAUUGUGCCACUGCACUCCAGCCUGGGCAACAGAGGGAGACUGUAUCUCAAACAAGACAAAACAAAAACAUACACAAAACACAAAACCUACAGCUGUUCAAGGACCAGCUGACAGGUCAAGUGUGGGCUUUUCUGGUCUUUGAACACAUCGUAUAAAAUGACAAAUGCUGCAAAGCCAUGAAGAACGUGAACUGUAAACUAGGGUAGGCUAACUGCCCAACCUAGGUGCUUAUCAUGUCAUAAGACAGGUGGAUUUGUCACAUUUAGAGAUUGCAAUAUGGGAAGUAUUGAGAUCAAAACAGGAUUCCAUUGACCUCAUUGUAUUAAACUAAUAAACUAAUUUUUCGGAAAAAAAAAAAAAAAAACAACCCCAUCUAAAAGUGAGCAAAAUAUAUGACUAGAAACUUCUCAAAAGAAGACAUUUAUGUGGCCAACAAACAUAUGAAAAAAAAAAAAAAAAGCUCA
Molecule: non-coding RNA, 8762 nt
Organism: Callithrix jacchus (white-tufted-ear marmoset)
Lineage: Eukaryota; Metazoa; Chordata; Mammalia; Primates; Cebidae
Source: RefSeq, a predicted model, not a curated record